GAAGAGUAUGAAUUUGCCUCUUUCAAUGACAAGGCAGUACUAUCAUUGAAAGGAUCAAAUAGAGAAUAUGUUAAAACUCUUGAACUAGUGACAUCCAUUGAUCUUUCUUGCAAUCACUUGACAGGAGAGAUACCUCAAAGUAUAACAAAACUAGUGGCAUUAUUCGGCUUAAACCUUUCAGGAAAUAAUCUCACUGGAUUCAUUCCCAGCAGCAUUGGUCAUAUGGAAAGUUUGGAAUCACUUGACCUAUCAAAAAACCAUCUUUCUGGUAGAAUUCCAUCAAGCUUUUCAAAUCUGACAUUUCUUGGUUACAUGAACUUAUCUUUCAACAACUUAGAAGGGAGAAUUCCACUUGGUACUCAGUUACAAUCUUUUUAUCCUUCUUCAUAUAUGGGGAAUAAUGGACUUUGUGGCCCACCGCUCAUAAAUCAUUGUCCAGAACAUGUGAUUUCUUCAACUGGAAGCCAUGAAAAACAUGUCAAGAAUGAAGAUGAAGAUAAGUUCAUAACCUUUGGGUUUUAUGUUAGCUUGGGACUUGGUUUUAUAAUUGGGUUUUGGGGAGUUUGCGGAACUCUAGUGAUAAAAACAUCAUGGAGACAUGCAUAUUUCAAGUUCUUCAACAACAUCAAUGAUUGGAUUCAAAUCACAGUAGUCGUAUUUCUGAUCAAUAUGAAAAAUAGAUUCCAAGAUGAAGACUAACCGGGGUAAAGCUUCCAUUGAGAGAGUGAUAUAGCGCAUUAUCUUACUCAAUAUAUAUGUUCCAUAACAUUGUAUAAGUAUUAUAGAGUAAAGGAAGUCAACAUUUGUGUGUGUGUAUUGUUUAAAUCUUCAUGUAUGAUCCAAGUAUUAUGAAGUUGAAUAAUAUCUUUUUAUUAU
Long non-coding RNA from Vicia villosa (hairy vetch), 876 nucleotides. RefSeq lists it as uncharacterized. The transcript has 2 exons. NCBI's taxonomy places the organism in Eukaryota, Viridiplantae, Streptophyta, Magnoliopsida, Fabales, Fabaceae. The record is from RefSeq and is a predicted model, not a curated record.